GACGAACGCUGGCGGCGUGCUUAACACAUGCAAGUCGAACGGAAAGGCCCUGCUUUUGUGGGGUGCUCGAGUGGCGAGCGGGUGAGUAACACGUGAGUAACCUGCCCUUGACUUUGGGAUAACUUCAGGAAACUGGGGCUAAUACCGGAUAGGAGCUCCUGCUGCAUGGUGGGGGUUGGAAAGUUUCGGCGGUUGGGGAUGGACUCGCGGCUUAUCAGCUUGUUGGUGGGGUAGUGGCUUACCAAGGCUUUGACGGGUAGCCGGCCUGAGAGGGUGACCGGCCACAUUGGGACUGAGAUACGGCCCAGACUCCUACGGGAGGCAGCAGUGGGGAAUAUUGCACAAUGGGCGGAAGCCUGAUGCAGCAACGCCGCGUGCGGGAUGACGGCCUUCGGGUUGUAAACCGCUUUCGCCUGUGACGAAGCGUGAGUGACGGUAAUGGGUAAAGAAGCACCGGCUAACAACGUG
RNAcentral lists this ribosomal RNA (468 nucleotides) under uncultured bacterium. Its description in RNAcentral is "partial 16S ribosomal RNA". It matches the Rfam family "Bacterial small subunit ribosomal RNA", at positions 28 to 507 of the family's 1533-position model. The record is from RNAcentral.